CCCUUCCCCUUCUUCAUAGCAAAGAGCAGAAAAUGCAGAUACAAGCAUGCACAGCAUCAUUCACUGUCUCAGAUAUCUCUCUCUGCAUCUUGAAAACCCUAUCAUUGACAUGUCUGUUAGAGAAUUUAUAAAACAGAAGCUGCUGAAAUGCCACCUCUUCUAUGAGAACUUUCCAGAGCCUACUUUCCAUGGAUGAAUAUUUAUUCAUUUCCCAUGGCCCUUUGUCAUCUUUCAAUCUUCUUCUUUAGAUCUUAGGUUCCAUAAGCUGUAACCAUUGGUUGACACAUGGUUUGGUGUGUAGAGCAUAAACAUAUUGUGGGAAGACACCUGGAGAAACCCAUCCAUUAUGGAAUUAGGUUAAUGGCCAGGUAUAACCAUGGAAAUUUUGUUUUAAUUAGAAAAAUUUCAAUAAGAAGACAUUCCACAAAUUAUUU
Molecule: long non-coding RNA, 434 nt
Organism: Myotis myotis
Lineage: Eukaryota; Metazoa; Chordata; Mammalia; Chiroptera; Vespertilionidae
Exons: 4
Source: RefSeq, a predicted model, not a curated record